RNAcentral lists this ribosomal RNA (1199 nucleotides) under Leptochidium albociliatum. Its description in RNAcentral is "LSU rRNA". It matches the Rfam family "Eukaryotic large subunit ribosomal RNA", at positions 1 to 1443 of the family's 3401-position model. Lineage: Eukaryota; Fungi; Ascomycota; Lecanoromycetes; Peltigerales; Placynthiaceae. The record is from RNAcentral.
GUUUGACCUCGGAUCAGGUAGGGAUACCCGCUGAACUUAAGCAUAUCAAUAAGCGGAGGAAAAGAAACCAACAGGGAUUGCCUCAGUAACGGCGAGUGAAGCGGCAACAGCUCAAAUUUGAAAUCUGUCCCUCUGGCGGGGGCCCGAGUUGUAAUUUGUAGAGGGUGUUUCGGGCGCGAUGCCGGUUUAAGUUCCUUGGAACAGGACGUCGCAGAGGGUGAGAAUCCCGUAUGUGACCGGCGAUCAAGCCCGUGUGAAACCCCUUCGACGAGUCGAGUUGUUUGGGAAUGCAGCUCAAAAUGGGUGGUAAAUUUCAUCUAAAGCUAAAUACCGGCCAGAGACCGAUAGCGCACAAGUAGAGUGAUCGAAAGAUGAAAAGCACUUUGGAAAGAGAGUUAAACAGUACGUGAAAUUGUUGAAAGGGAAGCGCUUGCGAUCAGACUUGCUCGCGGGUGAUACAAUCGCUAUUCGUAGCGGUGCACUCGCCCGCGAUCAGGCCAGCAUCGGUUUGGGCGGUGGGAUAAAUGACCCAGAAAUGUAGCUUCUUUCGGGGAGUGUUAUAGCCUGGGUCGCAAUGCCGCCAGCCCGGACCGAGGACCGCGCUUCGGCUAGGAUGCUGGCGUAAUGGUCGCAAGCGACCCGUCUUGAAACACGGACCAAGGAGUCUAACAUCUAUGCGAGUGUUUGGGUGUCAAACCCAGGCGCGGAAUGAAAGUGAACGGAGGUGGGAGCCCGUGAAACGGCGCACCAUCGACCGAUCCAGAUGUCUUCGGAUGGAUUUGAGUAGGAGCAUAGCUGUUGGGACCCGAAAGAUGGUGAACUAUGCCUGGAUAGGGUGAAGCCAGAGGAAACUCUGGUGGAGGCUCGCAGCGGUUCUGACGUGCAAAUCGAUCGUCGAAUCUGGGUAUAGGGGCGGUACGUUGAACUUUCCUUUCCCCGGUACGAGAGAAGAUAUAUUUACUAACGGUUUCUGCAGAAAGACUAAUCGAACCAUCUGAACCGGUCCGCUGCUGGAUGGUUCAACUGAGCCCUCGGGUGAGGACUCGGGCAGUCGUCCCGGGGAUGGGACGGCUACAUCGUCAGUCUUCGGGUAUGCCGUUAGGCUACCCGCAGCGAGCCUCGGGCUCGUUCACAGACUAAACGGCGAUGGUCGCGGGUGCGCCUGCGAUUAGGAGAUAGCCGAUACUGGUCCCUAACCG